UUUUUCAUGAAUUUCUGCUGCUUUGUUAUUUGUUUAGUUUGAAAUGUUUGUGAUGUUAGAAUUAGAUAGAAAGUGGAAUAAAGGGAGGAUGGUUUAAAAAAAAUGUGUGUAUCUCGGGUUCGAUAAAAAGCUUCUUGAACUCUUCAUUCAUCUGCAGGGGCGGACCCACGUUGAACUGAGGGGUUCAACUGAACACCCUGAAAAAAAAAUUUCCUACAUACCCCCCUAGAGUGAUUUGUUUUUGAACCCCUGAAAUUUGAAAAUUGCACCCCGGUCCCAGUCAACACUCAGUCACUCAUUCCUCACUCCUCUCUCUCUCUCUCUCUUCCUCACGCACUCACUCUCUCACGGUCUCAACUCUCACCUUCACGAUCCAGAGUUCCAGACCACCACCGGCCACCAGCCCACCACCACUACACCAGGCCCCAGCCACCACCACGGCACCACUCAUUGAUUCACGGUUUGACUGUUUCAGUGUUCACUCUUUUCUCUCUCUCUCAACGCUGCAACCCACCAGGCGGCAGCCACAGCCCACCAACGCCACCAGUCCACCACCACCGCCCACCGGCGGCCGCCCAACGCACCACCACUCUCUCUCUCUGCUGCUGUUGAAGACUUGAAGCUUGAAGUGAAAUUAGACUGGGAAAUAAGCUUGUUGUCUUGGUUUGAGAUUGGAAAUUUGGAAUGUGAAGGGAAAUGAAUUCAUCCAUCAGAUGAUCAGAACCCAACUCCCUCUUUCCCAUCACCAGUCAACUCAACACUCUUUGCUCUGCUGAACGCGGGAUGGACUAAUAGGCUUGUCUAUUUAAUCUUUGAGGGAAGAAAAAGCUCUGAUAACACCAGAUUUUUGUUCCACCAGAUUUUGAACCCCCUGACCCCGGGGUCCUGGAUCCGCCACUGUUCAUCUGGAUGUUGGUUACAGAUUUCUGAUCACUCCCAGAUGGGGCAUUCUGGCGCUGUGUUUUUGCUUCUCCUCAAAGUUUUCUAGAGAAAGAGUCAUCCAAUUUGGUAGCUCUGGGUACCAUUGAUGACAAUAAAUGGACUGAUGGCAUUGAAGGUAGUUUUUGGAUUAAAUAUUCUUCCCCUUUUGUCAAGCAAAUUCAUAUUUGCUAAUCUUUUAUUUUCAGAAUUCCCUUUUCCCUUCCAAAGAUUAGAGACGAGAGUGGAUUGUACAUGUUUAAACCUUUGAUUUUAUUUUUUCCUCUGUAUAAACUUCAUUAGCAAUUUAUUUUUAUGUCUUUGAAAAUUUUCAGUAUGUACUGACAAUAUAGAGGGUUGUCUCUCUUAAACAAAUAUCAAAUUCAACGUAGGUGCCCGACUCAGUGGCAGUCUGUUCAAUGGUUGCAUGCAAGUUUUCUUUUCUAACCUCAUAAGUUUCUGUUGAGUCAUCACCAACCUCUUCUUAUUCUUAUUGAAAUGUCAAUUUAUUAUUUUAUUUUAGUAACUGAAAAAUUAAUGAGAUUGUUUAUUAGAAAUUUAUAACGUUCACUCUUUAGUUGUCUGUUUAAGAUUAUAAAUGUAAUAUGAAAUUUUAGAUAGUGUAGUGAAUUGAUCGAAGGUAACAAUUGAAGAUUAGUUUAAUUUGCUGUGGAAGAUAAGAUUCUUCUGCAGUAGUUCAGGUCUAAUGUGUAUAAGAAUUUAUGCUCACAUUAGCUUUACAAUUAAUAUUUGCUGCCUAUUAAAUGGCCCUUUAGCUGAAUUUAUUUUUAUCACUUCCUAUAGCUCUGCCUUAGUUUGCUUUGCACCAUUGACUUAGGUCUACUGCGGUAGUUGAUUUUCCUCUGUGCAAUUUGUGAUUCUGGUGCUAGAGAUUUUAUCAUUCUCCCCUCUUUUUGCUUGCGUGGGUGAUAUUUAUUGUGCUUGCUUAUACUCUUUACUGAUAUAGUUUUAAUUUGCGUGGAAUGAUGCAUCAGAAAGAUGAAUUUGCUAAUACAAAGAGUCAUAGUAGUUAUCCUAAUAUGCAAGGGCCAGUAAAUACAAGUUAUCCUCUAGGUGUUUCCUUUAAUAGACCUCAAGGUAGACAGAUGCCCAUGAUGCAAGAAUGCAGUAUAAUCCUUAUCAGCUAUGGGCCUUUUUU
Long non-coding RNA from Lotus japonicus, 2077 nucleotides. RefSeq lists it as uncharacterized. NCBI's taxonomy places the organism in Eukaryota, Viridiplantae, Streptophyta, Magnoliopsida, Fabales, Fabaceae. The record is from RefSeq and is a predicted model, not a curated record. The transcript is spliced from 5 exons.